RNAcentral lists this unclassified non-coding RNA (459 nucleotides) under Hevea brasiliensis (rubber tree). The record is from RNAcentral. Lineage: Eukaryota; Viridiplantae; Streptophyta; Magnoliopsida; Malpighiales; Euphorbiaceae.
GGGGAGGAGCACGGUGGGGUCGACCUUAGCAAUUUCCCCGACAAAGCCGAGGGCAGCGGAGUCAGGGGAAGGACGGGCGGUGAUCAGGUGAGCGUCUUUGCCGCAGAGGCCGACGGCUGUGGCGCCGGCGACGUUGAUGAGUGAGACGAGUGACUUGUUGACCUUGCCGGCGAGAACCAUCUCGACGACCUCCAUGGUGAGGGCGUCGGUGACGCGGAGGCCGUUGUGGAAGCGGGGCUCGACGCCGAGGCGGAGGAGCCAGGAGUUGAUCUCGGGGCCACCGCCGUGCACGAGGACAGGGCGGAGACCGACGCAGGAGAGGAGGACGAGGUCGUUGAUGACGGAGGAUUGGAGAUCGGGGGAUUUCAUGGCUGCGCCGCCGUACUUGACGACGAUCGUCUUGCCGUGGAAGCGCUGGAUGAAGGGGAGGGACUCCGAGAGGAUCUCGACGCGGUUUUU